Molecule: unclassified non-coding RNA, 214 nt
Filed under: fungal sp.
Lineage: Eukaryota; Fungi
Description: partial internal transcribed spacer region
Rfam family: Eukaryotic small subunit ribosomal RNA (bases 1-46)
Source: RNAcentral
AAGUCGUAACAAGGUAACCGUAGGUGAACCUGCGGUUGGAUCAUUAACAAUGGUUUUCAAACCUUAUACUGUGCACUCUAUCGUACUUGGUGGUCUCUUGUAGUAUCUCGCAAGGGGUACUUAUCAAGGCCACCGCUUUUUAUAACACCUAUCUAAUGAGUCUUGAAUACCAAGUAAAACAUUAAAACUUUUGACAACGGAUCUCUUGGCUCUC